ACUAGCUCAUCGCCUCAUCCUCGUCCGGUCCGUGCCGCAGCGUUCCUCCCCCCUUCGCGCUAUCCACUGUCUCUGGUGCGACCUAAUAUAAUCUGCGGUUGAUCUGGUCGGGCGCGCAGCGGCGGUGGCGGCAAGGACGUGGAGAUGGUCGGGGAGCGCCACUAGGACGUGGGGAUCUGGAACGGCUCCACCAGCAGCGCUGCAGGGGAUGCUUCUGCGCCUAAGCCUGAAGAGGUGAAACGCCUGCCUGGUGGUAAGGUCAAGAAAAAGUUCCGGCCACCAUGUGCCAGUAGAUGGACUCUGUCACCAAUACCAAAGCCUCUGAACAACCGCGCGAUCUUAGAAGAGAACGUGAGAGAGUCCGUUCUGCCUCAAUGACAUCUGAACAAAGAGAGGAAAGGAACAGGAAACGACAAGAGGCUUACAAAAGAAAUAAGUGUGAUGCAAACAAUAAGGAAAAUGACCCAGAUGGUAGUCACAGGAUUUUAAUAUUAAUGGCUCUAAUACUAAUGCAUCCGGCGACCGCGUUACUACCAUGCCUGAACAGCCAAUGGGUAUGGGUUGGCACCGCGCUC
Long non-coding RNA from Panicum hallii, 575 nucleotides. RefSeq lists it as uncharacterized. The record is from RefSeq and is a predicted model, not a curated record. The transcript is spliced from 5 exons. NCBI's taxonomy places the organism in Eukaryota, Viridiplantae, Streptophyta, Magnoliopsida, Poales, Poaceae.